RNAcentral lists this ribosomal RNA (143 nucleotides) under Delftia sp. BR1. Its description in RNAcentral is "partial 16S ribosomal RNA". It matches the Rfam family "Bacterial small subunit ribosomal RNA", at positions 1 to 140 of the family's 1533-position model. Lineage: Bacteria; Pseudomonadati; Pseudomonadota; Betaproteobacteria; Burkholderiales; Comamonadaceae. The record is from RNAcentral.
AGAUCGAACUGUAGAGUUUGAUCCUGGCUCAGAUUGAACGCUGGCGGCAUGCCUUACACAUGCAAGUCGAACGGUAACAGGUCUUCGGACGCUGACGAGUGGCGAACGGGUGAGUAAUACAUCGGAACGUGCCCAGUCGUGGG